AAAAAAAAAGCAAACACAAAUGGUGAGGCAGCAGGGCAGGCCCAUGUCAGCCCCUUCCUGUGUGUCCUCAGCCCGGCGGUGAUUUGCUCAGAACGCAAUGCAAAAGAAAUGGGUGGUGGUUUUUGUGCGUGUUUUGGUUCAGGGUUCAAAUGAAUCGCCGCCUCCCGCCGGGGCAGGGAUGUUCCUGAAGUUUUCGCUCCGAUCCGUGUUCUAUGGAGCUGGAGGAGGAAAUGACAUUCAGUGGUGUUUUUCUCAGGUGAAAGGCGCUGUGGAUGAUGAUGUAGCAGAAGCCACAGCGGUGCUGUAGUCUGCAGUUGGUGACAUGAUGGACAGAUGAAGUCCCUGACAUUUCUGUCCCUGGACAAAUUGCAUGUGGUCAGAGAUAAGAACAAGGCUUGACAUUUCUCUUGUUCGGGAAUGUUUUCUCUGUCUGAUUCUAGGUAUGUUAUAACUUUCAAAUGUAGUUUUGUGUUUAUUUUUGGCUGACUUCAAAAUUGCAGAGCAGCUGUGGGCUCUUACUGCUUCGGUAGUGCUGGUGGUUUGCCUUCAGUACACCAAAAUAGCUGCCAUUAGCAGUGAGGAAAACUGAAAUCAGGAAUGGGAACUGCUGUAAGGAGCAGUUUACCACCUUGUGAAGUUUGUUAUCUUCUCCUGGCUUAUCAGAAAACUUUCUCCUUGUCAAGUCGCGUCUGUCAGUACUGGGGUUAGGGCUGCAGAACCUCCUCUGUGCCCUGAGUGGCUGUGGCACAUCUGUUCUGUUGGCUGAGCUGCUAACUGACUUUGGAUCGAGGGAUGCUGCUGGGAUCACUUGGGAAGGAGGGCUCCUACCCAGCUGGGCCUGUGGGCAGCGGUCACAGAAGAAACACGGUGGCACUGUUACAGAAGCAGUGGUUGGGCUUUUCGGUAAUAGGCGCUGCUGCAGCAGGAGGGAGGAGGAGUUCUUUCUCCCCCAGAAGCUUGGGGUGCCGUUGUAGUGAGGAGCUUAACUUCCCUCUCUGAGGGCUGGGCUGAAGUUGUCUGUGCCCAUAAAGUAGCAUUAGUGCAGAAGAGCAAGGACUGCAAACAGGUUUUAAAUGCCAGCUUGAAAUGUCUUGGCAGUCAUGCCAGUGUUGUGCUAUUUCUUUCUGUGGCAUUCUGCUGUUCUUGGGAUCUUUUGCACUUAACACUCCUUUUCCCGUCUGAUUUUUAAUUUAUUUCUGUGUUGUUAAUAUAGCAGUUAAUGAUCAGGCCAUCAGACAGCCGCCGUACGAAGGAACACAGCUCUGCUGUCUGUUGAAGCCCUGCUGGAUUACAGCUCUGUGGCUUUGAAUUUUAAAGGUGCUUCCUCGAGGUUCUCUUUUGGUUACUUCUAUCCUCACAGUGGGCUUCUGUGGUAGCUGUAGCUACACAAAACGUGUGCAGGGCAGAGCUAAAAUCAGGAGAGCUGGCAGAUGCAGUGCUGAUGUAAGAGUUAAGAGCUGGGUGUUCCUAGCUGUGCUGUUUGCCUUUCUUUUGCUCCUGCUGUCUUCUGACUUGCCUAUUUAGGCCAUGGCUACAUGUUUGGCAGCAUUUCUGCUUAAAGAGGCACUCCUUCCCACUUUGCUGGCACCAGCAUUCAUGUAACUGCACAAUGAACUCGCCUGGGAAGCUGAUCCAGCUGAAAAAUGCUUAAAAUUGUGCUUUUGACUGGAUUCUUUCUCAGCUGAACUGAACCCUGAUCUGGUUCUCAAUGCUGUGUGCUGGCGACAGCAUGGAGUGAAGAGAUGAAGCAGCUCGAGGAAGAGGAGGAACUCUGGCAGAGUCAGUCUCCCUAUAGGAUUUUAAGUACAGUCAGUACAAGAAGCUGAUCUCCAGUGCUGUGCUACUGCAAAUGGUAAACUAAGUGAGCAAAAGGGACUUAGAACUUUGCUGUUUGAGAUGUGCUUUGUGCUGUUUGAAGGCCAGCAAUAAAUAUAUCGACUACCACUGCUGUGGUGGUGAUCCCAGGCUGGAUUUUAGUUCAGUCUGAUAAGGUAGCUGGAACUUCCACGGAUGUGUGGGUGUGCAGACACUGACAGUGCAGAGAGAGGGAGAUGAAGAUGUGCCUGGGGGGCUGGGAGUGCAGAACUGCCUGGUGUGGAUGGAGGGACACACCAGUGGUCAAGCUGCUUUGCACUGACAGCUGUUGAUUUUCCAGUCACACACGUGUGUGAGCGCACACCCAGCGAUGCUGAGCACGGUGCCAUCCAUCACCGGCUGUCAGUACUGCUGAGCUACACAGAACUAGUGUGCAUAGGACAGAUACUUUUCCCCCAGCACCCACACGAGCAGUGUGUGAAAAGAGAAGCCGUGCUUGACGUGUUUAGCAUUGCCAUUAGCUUUGUUGUUUGGUUGUUUUCUCCAGCUGUCUUGCUACCAGUAUGGUUUAGUUUCUCGUAGAAAAGAAUAGCAGUUAAUUGGGAGCUGGAUUACUUACUGAUUGCUUUACAGUAAAGCACUUUAGAUAAUCUAACGAAUGAUAAUCUUCUCUUGCUGUGUCUUACCGCUCUUAAUAUGAUUUGAAAAACUGAUCCCUUGUUUGGGGUUUUUCCUUCAUUUAAAUUAAUGUAUUGUCUUCUAUUUAGAUGCUGUAGAAGGAGGCUGUUGUGCACACAAUUAAACCUGUGAUGUCCCAUUUCACCACCAGAAAAAAACAUCAAUUAGUGAUGGCAUCAAACUCGUUCCAUGUGUUCCUUAGGAAAUGCUGCUCUUGAAGCUGUUUCAUUACUACAACAUCCAUAUAUAUACUUAAUUUUCUACUGCUUUAAGGGUAUUUUCCAGGCAAGGAUAUUUUCCAGACCUUUCUUUGUUUUAUAAUGCACAGCACCAUAAAUACUUAGAAUAUUUGUAGUACAGAGAGCAACCAAGACAUCAGGGAGGUGUUGUUAGUAUAGGUUGAUAACAUUACUGAAGGUAAUUACUGGAGGUUUCUGUGCAUGGCUGUGAUUUGGUUACAGAAAUAAAAGUAGCUGUGAGCUUUUUUAUUCCAACUUCUCGUGCUUUUGGGAAGCACUGGAGGAGAAAUUAUUAAUGUGGUCAGGCUUCCUUUGGAAAAAUGUAUUUUCCUCCCAGCAAUCCACAAGUGAUAGCACCAUUAAGGAACCCAGCCUAUUGGGGUCAUGUGUUAACCCCUCUGGCAGAUAGGCUUGCAUCUAUUUGUGGAGGAAAAAAAUCAGGGUCAGGAGGAGAGGAUUUAAGAGUUGUGCUGUAAGAAAGACUGGUUUCCCAGGUAUGCAGAAUGCAUUUUGUUUGGAUGUGUUUCCCCUUGUGUUUUUGGUUGUAGUGUCUUGCAUUGCAGCUCUGGAAUUGCGUGCUGCCCAGGCACACAGUUAUGCUGCAUGGCUCUGAAAAGUUCAGGAAAUAGAACUGUGUAUGUUCAGACAAAAUCCGUCUAUUAAAAUACUUUUUUAAAUCUUCAACUCUAGAUGUCUGAUUCUGACAGACCCUUCUGAGAGUUGCUGGACCUUCUCCUGAAACUGAAAUGAUCAGAUAGUGCUCUUAGUGCAUCGUGUACGGGGUCACUUAGAAACAUUGAAAGGACUGAAAAAAAUCUUUGAAUAACUACUGGUAAGCUCAUUUGUACUGAAAUGUGGCCUGGGAGGGGGGUGAGAAGUUAGGCACAGUGCAGCCUGAAUCCUCCCCUCCAGGCUGGCUGUCAUAGAGCUGGCAGCUGCUUCUGGAGGCAUUGGCUGAAGCGUGCAUUUCUCAUGGUAACGUCUUCAUUCUGCAGCAGCCCCUUCUGGAAGGGUUAACCUGGUGCUGUUACUGGAGCAGGAUGUGUGCUGCCCAGCAGUUCUGUCUCUGGCAAAGAGCAAGCAGGCAGCAUUUCAGAACCAGAACGUUGCUUGGUGUCACUGCUGGCUCCCUGGAGCUCGACGUGACGCUCGUCCCAAACCUGGGAGUCCCUCACCUGCUUGCUUGUAUAACAUCCUCAUCCCUCUGCUGUUCCUGCAAAUCUCUGAUCUAAAUUGUCAUCUAUGACUGUGCUCUGAGGUCACCUCUGUGCUGUUACUCAGUGUUCCUGUGCGAGGACUAAGCGUGGUGACGGUGAUAGGGGAAAAAAACGAUGGCACAGAGGAGUACAGCCCGUGUAGGAGCACUUCUGGCUUCACCUGCCCUCCUUGCUGGCUGCUGUCACUAUGAAGAAGUGCACGUGUGCACAGCCCUCCUCUGUCGUGUAACCUUUGUGCUGAGAUUCUUUUUCGAGAAGCCUUACUAAAGUGGAAGCUGCUUUGUGCCAUGCAAUUCCUGCUCUUUUCAACCAGUGUCUCUCAAAUGGGGCUUAAAUUUCUUGAAUACCCGCGUGGUGGUGGUGUUUUUUUUUUUAAACCAAGUUUAAAACUUACAUUUAAUUAUCCUGAAGGGAUAAGGGGGAGUGAAAAGUAAGGUAAUGAAAAGCAAUCGUAUGAGUCAGGAUUCAUAAAGGGCAGUAAAUCAUUUCAACCCUCAGUGCUUUGCGUUCUUUAUCUGUAAGGCUGGUUUGCCUGUUCCCAAAUGGGCUUCUGAAUCUUGGAGAUGCGUGCAGGGUAGUCAUGUAACUAAUUGUUCCAAACCUUGGUUUUAUAGCUGUUGUAAAACUUCUCUGAGAUCAGAGAAGGGAUCCUCAUCUAUAGAUAGAGGAGAUGAGAUGUAAAGUAACUCCCUUAAGAAUUCGGGUCAGUGUUCUGUUCAGAUUUGUGGGGUCCUUUUUUCUGCGGCAUGAAGACCUGCCUUACAGAGGUGUUAAGAUGCAUCCAUUCCAUUUUGUAUCACCUGGAGAAGUUGUCCAUAGUGAAGCAAUCAGAAGUUUCUAUUCCACAGUCUCUUAAUAGUCAGAAUUGUGCAUUCAUCUCAGCUGGAAGCACCAGCAGGACUUGUGAGCUGCUCGGCACGCUGCCUGGCAUUCACCUGCAUGCUGUGCCUCUUACUACCAGAACGCAGAGCAGGGAGAGUGGUUUUCUUAUUUUCUUACUUUUAUUUUCCUUCCUUAGCAGGAGGCAGUGGAUGUGUCUGAUAGGCAGAGGUUUCUCACAUUCUACAAUGCGAUACUUGAAGAUGAAGAGCCAUAGGAAUUCUUGGCCUUGGCUUUUUUCCCUGAAAUAAAAGCUCUAGUCAAAGAAUGUAUGGGAAGAGCCCGAAACAGCACGAUAGUUUCCAAGAAUUGCUUUCUGCUGAAAUGCCAACCAGGCUGCAGAGUUCCAUUUGCUCAUUCUAAAAGGCAGUCAAAUCCUGAUAUUUUCCUAACGUCCUGCUAACUUGCUGUGUGUUUUGUAAUGGCUUCAGCAAAAAGAAAAUCAAGAUACUCCCAUGCUCUUAACUGGCAUUCUCAGUGACAAAUCAAGAAGGGCAUUGCCCAGAGGCUUCUGUUACAUCCAAGCAGAACAAUGGUGCAGCGUGUUAUUUCCAAAUAUAUUGUUAUUUGCAAACAGAAUGAGCCACUGGCUUUUCUGUGCUGUGCAGCCUAUUGAAAUUCUGGCUGCGAUUCCAGCAGACUUUUUCCAUAAAUAGCUCUGCAAUACUUCAGAACACAAACAAGCUCCUGAAAAUACCUGAAGUAAGUCUUCAGAGAGGGCUGCUUGGCCUUUGUUAGUGGCUGGUGCUGCGGUGUGGGUGCUGUGAUGGAGGUGAGGAAUGAAUGCCUCCAUGGGCUGAGGGGUGGGACUGUGAGCAGGAGCUCAGAACAGUACAAGAGGGACAUGGAGCUCUUGGAACGAGCCCAGAGGAGGGCCACUAAGAUGCUCAGAGGGCUGGAAGCACCUCUCCUAU
Molecule: non-coding RNA, 5742 nt
Organism: Meleagris gallopavo (turkey)
Lineage: Eukaryota; Metazoa; Chordata; Aves; Galliformes; Phasianidae
Source: RefSeq, a predicted model, not a curated record